Molecule: ribosomal RNA, 165 nt
Filed under: uncultured bacterium
Lineage: Bacteria
Description: partial 16S rRNA
Rfam family: Bacterial small subunit ribosomal RNA
Source: RNAcentral
UAGGAAAUCUUCGGCAAUGGACGAAAGUCUGACCGAGCAACGCCGCGUGAGUGAAGAAGGUUUUCGGAUCGUAAAACCCUGUUGGUAGAGAAGAACGUUGGUGAGAGUGGAAAGCUCAUCAAGUGACGGUAACUACCCAGAAAGGGACGGCUAACUACGUGCUAG